This 911-nucleotide long non-coding RNA is filed under the name Gallus gallus (chicken). The record is from RNAcentral. Lineage: Eukaryota; Metazoa; Chordata; Aves; Galliformes; Phasianidae.
CCUCUUUCUUCAACUAGUUUGCAGCAUAUAUCAACAAUCAGUGGGAUAUAUUUGUUGGUAUGUGCUGGGGGGCAGUCAUCUAGUCUGACACCAAAUGUUCCGACUGCAGAUGGCUUCUUUUCAAAUGUCUUCCUCAUAAUGCUUGGAAUGCCUUUCCUCCAUGUCCCCUUAUCUUUAGGUGGGCUUGUCUCAUCUUUAGUGAGAAGCUUCCUCUCUGACUCAUCCUUGGGAGAAUGUGGACUCUGGGUCCUCUGGUCUGCUUUAGUUCCAAGCAGAGUCUGCCUGAUACUUAGGCUCUGACGAGGUGUUUUGGGAGAUGGCUCUGUUUUGCUGCUUGAAGAACUCAUCAUUGUACUGUAUUCUUUAAUCCUCCGGCUAAUUAGGUCUCUACUAGUGACACCAGUGUCCUCAUCAUUUAAGUUGCUGUUUUCUUGUAUUGCUUUAAUCCACGCUAACAUAUUAUCUCUGUCCUCAGCUUGAAACAGAUACUCGCAGUCUGAUGUGGUGAGUCUGAAUACAUUUUUCCUCUUGGUUUCACAGUAUGAGAUGUCUAUCAAACAAGCAUUGAUGCUUAUAGGUUGUUCUUCUUCUGAUGGGGUCAUUUGUUCCUUUUUAUCCUUGUACAAAUAAAGUGAAUGACCUCGAAGAACAACAUACAAUUGUUUCCAUGGCCGAAUGCUCCCACCAACUCGCUUUCCUUUGUCUGUAACAAGCUGACGAAAAUGGAGCCACCCUUCUUUGGAGGCAUCACCAAAGACCUCUGAAGAAGAAUCUUUUCGGGAACCAGAAUCUUCAGAAGAUUUCUGACUGUCUGUGACCUAAAGAGAACAUCACAGAACGAAACUCACAGCGUACUUCUAAGCACGUUUCUCUAUGAUCUCUAUAUGCAAGAUCACAUCUGUCAGUGUUCG